RNAcentral lists this ribosomal RNA (769 nucleotides) under Micrococcaceae bacterium. RNAcentral describes it as "bacterial SSU rRNA". It matches the Rfam family "Bacterial small subunit ribosomal RNA", at positions 43 to 824 of the family's 1533-position model. The record is from RNAcentral. Lineage: Bacteria; Bacillati; Actinomycetota; Actinomycetes; Micrococcales; Micrococcaceae.
CGUGCUUAACACAUGCAAGUCGAACGAUGAUCUCCAGCUUGCUGGGGGGAUUAGUGGCGAACGGGUGAGUAACACGUGAGUAACCUGCCCUUAACUCUGGGAUAAGCCUGGGAAACUGGGUCUAAUACCGGAUAUUUACUUCUCGCCGCAUGGUGGGUGGUGGAAAGCUUUUGCGGUUUUGGAUGGACUCGCGGCCUAUCAGCUUGUUGGUGAGGUAAUGGCUCACCAAGGCGACGACGGGUAGCCGGCCUGAGAGGGUGACCGGCCACACUGGGACUGAGACACGGCCCAGACUCCUACGGGAGGCAGCAGUGGGGAAUAUUGCACAAUGGGCGAAAGCCUGAUGCAGCGACGCCGCGUGAGGGAUGACGGCCUUCGGGUUGUAAACCUCUUUCAGUAGGGAAGAAGCGAAAGUGACGGUACCUGCAGAAGAAGCGCCGGCUAACUACGUGCCAGCAGCCGCGGUAAUACGUAGGGCGCAAGCGUUAUCCGGAAUUAUUGGGCGUAAAGAGCUCGUAGGCGGUUUGUCGCGUCUGCCGUGAAAGUCCGGGGCUCAACUCCGGAUCUGCGGUGGGUACGGGCAGACUAGAGUGAUGUAGGGGAGACUGGAAUUCCUGGUGUAGCGGUGAAAUGCGCAGAUAUCAGGAGGAACACCGAUGGCGAAGGCAGGUCUCUGGGCAUUAACUGACGCUGAGGAGCGAAAGCAUGGGGAGCGAACAGGAUUAGAUACCCUGGUAGUCCAUGCCGUAAACGUUGGGCACUAGGUGUG